Molecule: long non-coding RNA, 841 nt
Filed under: Vitis vinifera (wine grape)
Lineage: Eukaryota; Viridiplantae; Streptophyta; Magnoliopsida; Vitales; Vitaceae
Description: long non-coding RNA (VVIN_LNC005280)
Source: RNAcentral
AUAAGAAUAGUGCUCAAUACUCAUUAUCUCAUUUUCCUUUUUUCUUUUCUUUUUUUUUCUUUUCUUUUUUGAGCUAUAAUCUCUUUCAUAAUAUAAUUAAAACUAUAAAUAAAAUUAAAAACUAAUAAUGUAAGAAUGGUGGAUUUAUUUACACUUAUUUUAUUUUAUUUUUUUAUUGUACGCGAAAUUACUUUUUAUGUCGUUCACAGGAGGUUUUAUUUGUUAUAUUUCCUUCAAAUGGAUGGUCACAAAUCAUGGGUUUAACCCUUCAACAUAAUAGAAAACACAUGUUUAUUAUAAGAUGAAUAAUUUCAUCGUGAGUACAAUAAGCCAACCAUUAUAUUAUGCAGAAAUUAAUGGGUCUAACCCUUCAACUUAAUAAGAAGCCCAGGUUUAUUAUAAGAUGCAUUCAUGAUCAUGCAGCAAACUCAAUGCCUCUUCUCCAAAUAUUCCCACCUCUUCCUACAACUCGAACUACUCCUCGCCAGCGCUGUCUGCUCUGCGAUUUCUAGCCAAGAUAGAGGGCGAUUUUUCGUUUGGCAUUCGGUUUUCCAUUUGUUUAUACAUUCAAUGAGCUUGAGGUCUUCUUCUUCGGUCCAUGGCCGUGUCUCCGACCCACUCGCUCGCUGUGAGCUUUCCAUUACGGAUUUCCCUGCAGAUAUGGAAGAAAUUAACCCAAUAAAGCUGUUUCCAUGAAAUAUACUAUAAGAAAACAAAUAAAUAAAUACAAUGACUGCAAAAAAAACCAGGGAAGCUCUCCCCAGUGAAAGCAAGCUGUGAAGAGAAGAUUGAGACCUUGAAGAAACAACGUGCUUGUUAUCCAAUGCUUGGCUGAGCUUGC